This is a long non-coding RNA of Harpia harpyja (harpy eagle), 1538 nucleotides long. RefSeq lists it as uncharacterized. NCBI's taxonomy places the organism in Eukaryota, Metazoa, Chordata, Aves, Accipitriformes, Accipitridae. The record is from RefSeq and is a predicted model, not a curated record. The transcript is spliced from 2 exons.
UGUGAGUUUUGACAAUCCUGCCAGUGCCCAAGCUGCUAUCCAGGCUAUGAAUGGCUUCCAGAUUGGCAUGAAGAGGCUGAAGGUGCAGCUGAAGAGGCCAAAGGAUGCUAAUCGUCCCUACUGAAGGGUUGUGGGAACCGCUGGAUACAAAGCACUAACACAGGGCAGCAGCUGAAUGAGCCACAUUUAGGAAAAAAGUAUAUAUAUUAAAAAAAGGAAACUGUUGGAUUACACCUUUGACAUAUCAGCAAAUAUCAAUCAAGCUGAAGACUUCAGACUUAUUCUCUCUUUGAUUGUUUAGACUGUAACAUUUCUUCAAGAAAAGUAUCACAUCUGCUGACUUCGAAGGACAUGCGCUUGAAAACAAAUACAUAAGUAAAAUCAGAACAGGAACAAGAUCAACCAGGAUUUCUGAAGAGACACUGAUAUCACCACAGCGGCUUUUCUUCAAACAGGAGAUGCAAACCUGGAUACUGACAAAGGAGUGCCUGUUUGCCACCAAGGAUGCAGUUACCAUGCAUGAACCAUGGUAACAGUCACUGAGCAUCUUUAUCUGUCAUUCCUUAGCUAUAUAGGGACCAAAGGACAAAACUUUUUACCGCAGACUUGUAGCUGUAUGUAAAAUAUGGAAGUUCUUUCCUUUUCUCUGAGCUGUUCCUAAAACAGUUUUUGAGAGCGAUUAUAUGAAAUAUGUAAAAAAAUUUAAAAAUAUGCUUAAAUGCUUUUAAAACAGCAAGAUAAUAGUUCUUUGAUAAUUUGGGAGGUUCUUUGGUUAUACAUUAAUUAGAGUCUAUGAAGCUUUCAUAUGGUUUUCUGUAUAAUAGGUAAGGAUUGUGCUGUUAAAGGCAGGUAAGAUGGAUAUCUAUGAAAAGCAAAAAAGUAAAUAAAUACAUAAACAAAUACAUAAAAAGGCAUAGACAAGAGAAAAGAUAGUUGAUAUUAAAAGGAAAACAAAAAAGGUUUGUAAAUGCUUCUAACUCUCCCCAUUUAAAAUCCUAAUAGUUGUACAGAAUUUUAAAAAAAGAAAGUUUAAAAUACCUAUAUAAUAGAAAAAAUUAGACAACAUUAAAAAAUAAAAAAAUUUUAAAAAAUACUACAUAGAACUUAACAUUAAUGCUAAAAACAAAGAUGUUGUAGAACUGUAAUUUUUGUAGAGUUUAGACUGAGCAUAAAUUCCUACUCUCUGCCAAUUGUUGUUGGAUGUUGUUAUUUAUCAAGGAGAAAAAGGAGAGAAAUGGCUAUUUUGGCAGCUUUUCUAACUGCAAGCAUUCCAGCUAUUAAAAAAAUAAACAAAACAAAACUCGAUUCUGUAGACAAUGUAAAUGGGAAACAAAACAGCUGUCUUUUUAUCAGACUUUAGUUCUAACUUGAACAACAAAACACAGCUAAAUGCUUCAUGUCUUCAUGAUCUGCUGUCUGCAAAAUUACCAUCAUCCUAUGCUUCAGUAGCUUCCAUAUUUGCUCUAGAAACCUUCAGGGCAAGGGGUUAGCCUAGAACCUUAAUCUUAAAAAAGAAAAAAAUAACAUAAAAAAUAAAA